UAAGGAAUAUUGGUCAAUGGACGCAAGUCUGAACCAGCCAUGCCGCGUGAAGGAAGACGGCCCUACGGGUUGUAAACUUCUUUUGUACGGGAAAAAAUCUCCGGUCGUGAAUCGGAGCUGAUGGUACCGUAAGAAUAAGCAUCGGCUAACUCCGUGCCAGCAGCCGCGGUAAUACGGAGGAUGCAAGCGUUAUCCGGAUUCAUUGGGUUUAAAGGGUGCGCAGGCGGAAUGAUAAGUCAGUGGUGAAAUCCUACGGCUCAACUGUAGAACUGCCAUUGAUACUGUCGUUCUUGAGUACACUUGGAGUGGGCGGAAUGUGUCAUGUAGCGGUGAAAUGCUUAGAUAUGACACAGAACACCGAUCGCGAAGGCAGCUCACUAAAUUGUAACUGACGCUCAGGCACGAAAGCGUGGGGAUCAAACAGG
This 425-nucleotide ribosomal RNA is filed under the name uncultured bacterium. Its description in RNAcentral is "bacterial SSU rRNA". It matches the Rfam family "Bacterial small subunit ribosomal RNA", at positions 355 to 776 of the family's 1533-position model. The record is from RNAcentral.